UGAGGAGUCAAUAGUGGUUUCAUCUGACUCUGAGAAAAGGAAAUCCACCAAAAUGAAUUGACGUUUUAAAGCUGAAUGCCACAGGAAAACAUUUCUUCUCUU
Molecule: long non-coding RNA, 102 nt
Organism: Manacus vitellinus (golden-collared manakin)
Lineage: Eukaryota; Metazoa; Chordata; Aves; Passeriformes; Pipridae
Exons: 3
Source: RefSeq, a predicted model, not a curated record